This 292-nucleotide ribosomal RNA is filed under the name uncultured bacterium. RNAcentral describes it as "partial 16S ribosomal RNA". It matches the Rfam family "Bacterial small subunit ribosomal RNA", at positions 505 to 796 of the family's 1533-position model. The record is from RNAcentral.
GUGCCAGCAGCCGCGGUAAGACAGAGGCCACAAGCGUUAGGCGGAAUCACUGGGCUUAAAGCGUGUGUAGGCGGAUCGUUAAGUGCCUUGUGAAAUCCCACCGCUCAACGGUGGAAAUGCUUGGCAUACUGGCGGUCUUGAGCCACCUAGGGGCUACUGGAACAAACGGUGGAGCGGUGAAAUGCGUAGAUAUCGUUUGGAACGCCAAUGGUGAAAACAGGUAGCUGGGGGUGUGCUGACGCUGAGACACGAAAGCCAGGGGAGCAAACGGGAUUAGAUACCCUAGUAGUCC